Molecule: transfer RNA, 58 nt
Filed under: Rattus norvegicus (Norway rat)
Lineage: Eukaryota; Metazoa; Chordata; Mammalia; Rodentia; Muridae
Source: Rfam by way of RNAcentral
UGGCUCAGUGGUUAAGAGCACUGACUGCUCUUCCAGAGGUCCUGGGUUCAAGUCCCAG